AUACCGUUAGCCGAAAAGGUAAAAGAGUAGGCA
Molecule: non-coding RNA, 33 nt
Filed under: unclassified sequences
Description: DUF805b RNA
Rfam family: DUF805b RNA
About the family: Bacteroidetes, Chlorobi (1 example), Proteobacteria.
Source: RNAcentral